GGUUAAGCGACUAAGCGUACACGGUGGAUGCCCUGGCAGUCAGAGGCGAUGAAGGACGUGCUAAUCUGCGAAAAGCGCCGGCGAGGUGAUAUGAACCUUUGACCCGGCGAUGUCCGAAUGGGGAAACCCAGUGCAAUCCGUUGCACUAUCGUUAACUGAAUACAUAGGUUAACGAGGCGAACCGGGGGAACUGAAACAUCUAAGUACCCCGAGGAAAAGAAAUCAACCGAGAUUCCCCCAGUAGCGGCGAGCGAACGGGGAGCAGCCCGGAGUCUGAAUCAGCUUGUGUGUUAGUGGAACGGUCUGGAAAGUCCGACGGUACAGGGUGAUAGUCCCGUACACGAAAGCACACAUGCUGUGAACUCGAAGAGUAGGGCGGGACACGUGGUAUCCUGUCUGAAUAUGGGGGGACCAUCCUCCAAGGCUAAAUACUCCUGACUGACCGAUAGUGAACCAGUACCGUGAGGGAAAGGCGAAAAGAACCCCGGCGAGGGGAGUGAAAAAGAACCUGAAACCGUGUACGUACAAGCAGUGGGAGCCUCUUUAUGGGGUGACUGCGUACCUUUUGUAUAAUGGGUCAGCGACUUAUAUUCUGUAGCAAGGUUAACCGUAUAGGGGAGCCGAAGGGAAACCGAGUCUUAACUGGGCGUUAAGUUGCAGGGUAUAGACCCGAAACCCGGUGAUCUAGCCAUGGGCAGGUUGAAGGUUGGGUAACACUAACUGGAGGACCGAACCGACUAAUGUUGAAAAAUUAGCGGAUGACCUGUGGCUGGGGGUGAAAGGCCAAUCAAACCGGGAGAUAGCUGGUUCUCCCCGAAAGCUAUUUAGGUAGCGCCUCGUGAACUCAUCUUCGGGGGUAGAGCACUGUUUCGGCUAGGGGGCCAUCCCGGCUUACCAACCCGAUGCAAACUACGAAUACCGAAGAAUGUUAUCACGGGAGACACACGGCGGGUGCUAACGUCCGUCGUGAAGAGGGAAACAACCCAGACCGCCAGCUAAGGUCCCAAAGUCAUGGUUAAGUGGGAAACGAUGUGGGAAGGCACAGACAGCCAGGAUGUUGGCUUAGAAGCAGCCAUCAUUUAAAGAAAGCGUAAUAGCUCACUGGUCGAGUCGGCCUGCGCGGAAGAUGUAACGGGGCUAAACCAUGCACCGAAGCUGCGGCAGCGACACUAUGUGUUGUUGGGUAGGGGAGCGUUCUGUAAGCCGUUGAAGGUGUGCUGUGAGGCAUGCUGGAGGUAUCAGAAGUGCGAAUGCUGACAUAAGUAACGAUAAAGCGGGUGAAAAGCCCGCUCGCCGGAAGACCAAGGGUUCCUGUCCAACGUUAAUCGGGGCAGGGUGAGUCGACCCCUAAGGCGAGGCCGAAAGGCGUAGUCGAUGGGAAACAGGUUAAUAUUCCUGUACUUGGUGUUACUGCGAAGGGGGGACGGAGAAGGCUAUGUCAGCCGGGCGACGGUUGUCCCGGUUUAAGCAUGUAGGCGGAGGUUCCAGGUAAAUCCGGUACCUUGUUAACGCUGAGGUGUGAUGACGAGGCACUACGGUGCUGAAGUGAUAAAUGCCCUGCUUCCAGGAAAAGCCUCUAAGCAUCAGGUAACACGAAAUCGUACCCCAAACCGACACAGGUGGUCAGGUAGAGAAUACCAAGGCGCUUGAGAGAACUCGGGUGAAGGAACUAGGCAAAAUGGUGCCGUAACUUCGGGAGAAGGCACGCUGAUGUGUAGGUGAAGCCCCUGCGGGCGGAGCUGAAAUCAGUCGAAGAUACCAGCUGGCUGCAACUGUUUAUUAAAAACACAGCACUGUGCAAACACGAAAGUGGACGUAUACGGUGUGACGCCUGCCCGGUGCCGGAAGGUUAAUUGAUGGGGUUAGCGGCAACGCGAAGCUCUUGAUCGAAGCCCCGGUAAACGGCGGCCGUAACUAUAACGGUCCUAAGGUAGCGAAAUUCCUUGUCGGGUAAGUUCCGACCUGCACGAAUGGCGUAAUGAUGGCCAGGCUGUCUCCACCCGAGACUCAGUGAAAUUGAACUCGCUGUGAAGAUGCAGUGUACCCGCGGCAAGACGGAAAGACCCCGUGAACCUUUACUAUAGCUUGACACUGAACACUGGUCCUUGAUGUGUAGGAUAGGUGGGAGGCUUUGAAGCGUGGACGCCAGUCUGCGUGGAGCCAACCUUGAAAUACCACCCUUUAAUGGCUGGUGUUCUAACGUAGACCCGUAAUCCGGGUUGCGGACAGUGUCUGGUGGGUAGUUUGACUGGGGCGGUCUCCUCCCAAAGAGUAACGGAGGAGCACGAAGGUUGGCUAAUCCUGGUCGGACAUCAGGAGGUUAGUGCAAUGGCAUAAGCCAGCUUGACUGCGAGCGUGACGGCGCGAGCAGGUGCGAAAGCAGGUCAUAGUGAUCCGGUGGUUCUGAAUGGAAGGGCCAUCGCUCAACGGAUAAAAGGUACUCCGGGGAUAACAGGCUGAUACCGCCCAAGAGUUCAUAUCGACGGCGGUGUUUGGCACCUCGAUGUCGGCUCAUCACAUCCUGGGGCUGAAGUAGGUCCCAAGGGUAUGGCUGUUCGCCAUUUAAAGUGGUACGCGAGCUGGGUUUAGAACGUCGUGAGACAGUUCGGUCCCUAUCUGCCGUGGGCGCUGGAGAAUUGAGGGGGGCUGCUCCUAGUACGAGAGGACCGGAGUGGACGCAUCACUGGUGUUCGGGUUGUCAUGCCAAUGGCACUGCCCGGUAGCUAAAUGCGGAAGAGAUAAGUGCUGAAAGCAUCUAAGCACGAAACUUGCCCCGAGAUGAGUUCUCCCUGAGACCUUGAGUCUCCUGAAGGAACGUUGAAGACGACGACGUUGAUAGGUCGGGUGUGUAAGCGCAGCGAUGCGUUGAGCUAACCGAUACUAAUGAACCGUGAGGCUUAACCUU
Molecule: ribosomal RNA, 2905 nt
Filed under: Enterobacter hormaechei
Lineage: Bacteria; Pseudomonadati; Pseudomonadota; Gammaproteobacteria; Enterobacterales; Enterobacteriaceae
Description: 23S ribosomal RNA
Rfam family: Bacterial large subunit ribosomal RNA
Source: RNAcentral